UGAUAUAACUUCAAAUACAUGGAAGGAGGAAAAUGAGGAAAAAAUUUUAGAUCUUAAGCAACCAACCCCCUUCAGCAAUGGCCAUUGGAGAAGAAAGCACCAGCCACCAAAAUAGAAAAAGGGAGAAAAACCCUGAAUCUCGAGCGGUCAAGGCAUCGAGCAGCACAAGCCCCCUCAACGAUGACCAAGUUGGGGAGGAAAAAGAGAAAGAAAA
This 214-nucleotide long non-coding RNA is filed under the name Elaeis guineensis (African oil palm). Its description in RNAcentral is "long non-coding RNA (EGUI_LNC074749)". Lineage: Eukaryota; Viridiplantae; Streptophyta; Magnoliopsida; Arecales; Arecaceae. The record is from RNAcentral.